Molecule: unclassified non-coding RNA, 585 nt
Filed under: Hevea brasiliensis (rubber tree)
Lineage: Eukaryota; Viridiplantae; Streptophyta; Magnoliopsida; Malpighiales; Euphorbiaceae
Source: RNAcentral
AUAUAUAUAUAUAUAUAUACACUGGAGUUGUGAGAAGAAUUUGUAAUGUUAUUGUUAGCUUAAAAAUGAAUGCGCAGGUGAUUGAUGCUGCCCAAAUAAAUUGAUUUCCAAGUUACAAAUAGACAUCGGUGUAUAUAUAUGAUUUAGAAAAUAAUUUCUUUUUCUUACAUUCAAAUUUGCUUUGUUUGUAUAGAUUUUGAAUUAUUUAUUCACCCUUUGAUAUUUGAUAUAGUCAAUUAGCCGUAGGCUGUAUAAAAUUUUCUAGCUGUUUUUCCGAGGCAAAGAGACUAAUCUCUUCUCCAAUGCUUUUCCCUGAAAAUUGUUGCCCAUUGACUGCUUUAGUUUUCUUCUGGCAGUGGUAGUGGAAAGAUUCUGGUCCUGAUUAGUGCUUAUGUCGGGUUUCGUCCCUUCAUAUCUAGACUUUUGUUUUGUGUAUAUCCUUUGCCCUUACUGUAUGCAAAUCAUUUACCAGCUUGACAUUUUUUUAUUAACACUUGUAUGUUCAUCAAAUCGGAUGGCUUUUUUUUUGUUCAUAACCAAAUCAGCCUUUUAAAAACACACGUUUCUGAUUCUCAUAUCAUUACA